UCGGAUUAGCUAGUUGGUGAGGUAAUGGCUCACCAAGGCAGCGAUCCGUAGCUGGUCUGAGAGGAUGAUCAGCCACAUCGGGACUGAGACACGGCCCGAACUCCUACGGGAGGCAGCAGUGGGGAAUAUUGGACAAUGGGGGCAACCCUGAUCCAGCCAUGCCGCGUGUGUGAAGAAGGCCCUCGGGUUGUAAAGCACUUUCAGCGAGGAAGAACGCCUAGUGGUUAAUACCCAUUAGGAAAGACAUCACUCGCAGAAGAAGCACCGGCUAACUCCGUGCCAGCAGCCGCGGUAAUACGGAGGGUGCAAGCGUUAAUCGGAAUUACUGGGCGUAAAGCGCGCGUAGGUGGCUUGAUAAGCCGGUUGUGAAAGCCCCGGGCUCAACCUGGGAACGGCAUCCGGAACUGUCAGGCUAGAGUGCAGGAGAGGAAGGUAGAAUUCCCGGUGUAGCGGUGAAAUGCGUAGAGAUCGGGAGGAAUACCAGUGGCGAAGGCGGCCUUCUGGACUGACACUGACACUGAGGUGCGAAAGCGUGGGUAGCAAACAGGAUUAGAUACCCUGGUAGUCCACGCCGUAAACGAUGUCGACCAGCCGUUGGGUGCCUAGCGCACUUUGUGGCGAAGUUAACGCGAUAAGUCGACCGCCUGGGGAGUACGGCCGCAAGGUUAAAACUCAAAUGAAUUGACGGGGGCCCGCACAAGCGGUGGAGCAUGUGGUUUAAUUCGAUGCAACGCGAAGAACCUUACCUACCCUUGACAUCGACAGAAGCCGAGAGAGAUCUUGGUGUGCCUUCGGGAACUGUCAGACAGGUGCUGCAUGGCUGUCGUCAGCUCGUGUUGUGAAAUGUUGGGUUAAGUCCCGUAACGAGCGCAACCCUUGUCCUUAUUUGCCAGCGCGUAAUGGCGGGAACUCUAAGGAGACUGCCGGUGACAAACCGGAGGAAGGUGGGGACGACGUCAAGUCAUCAUGGCCCUUACGGGUAGGGCUACACACGUGCUACAAUGGCCGGUACAAAGGGCAGCGAGCUCGCGAGAGUCAGCGAAUCCCUUAAAGCCGGUCUCAGUCCGGAUCGGAGUCUGCAACUCGACUCCGGAAGUCGGAAUCGCUAGU
This 1110-nucleotide ribosomal RNA is filed under the name uncultured bacterium. RNAcentral's name for it is "bacterial SSU rRNA". It matches the Rfam family "Bacterial small subunit ribosomal RNA", at positions 236 to 1339 of the family's 1533-position model. The record is from RNAcentral.